Molecule: long non-coding RNA, 304 nt
Filed under: Musa acuminata (dwarf banana)
Lineage: Eukaryota; Viridiplantae; Streptophyta; Magnoliopsida; Zingiberales; Musaceae
Description: long non-coding RNA (MACU_LNC010004)
Source: RNAcentral
AUGCUUCGAAAUGUUCCAUACGCCGUUGAUAUGCUCUGGAACAUUUCAUAUGCCAUUAAUAAGCUCCGAAAUGUUUCAUUUGUUAUUGAUAUGCUCUGAAACAUUUCAUUCGUUGUUGAUAUGCUCCGAAAUGUUUCAUCUGUUAUUGGCAUGCUCCGAAAUGUUCCAUAUGUCGUUGAUAUGCUCCGAAACAUUUCCUAUGCUAUUAAUAUGCUCCAAUUACUCUAUGCUCCAUUUGUUAUGAACCAAAUAUGUUUUGAAUGACAUGACACAUAUGAUUUGUAUCUAAUGAGAUGGUAUCCUC